This 889-nucleotide ribosomal RNA is filed under the name Iodosphaeria honghensis. Its description in RNAcentral is "partial large subunit ribosomal RNA". It matches the Rfam family "Eukaryotic large subunit ribosomal RNA", at positions 52 to 969 of the family's 3401-position model. Lineage: Eukaryota; Fungi; Ascomycota; Sordariomycetes; Amphisphaeriales; Iodosphaeriaceae. The record is from RNAcentral.
GGCGGRAAAGAACCAACAGGGAUUGCCCCAGUAACGGCGAGUGAAGCGGCAACAGCUCAAAUUUGAAAUCUGGCCCUCGGGUCCGAGUUGUAAUUUGUAGAGGAUGCUUUGGGCGAGGGGCCCCUCCGAGUUCCCUGGAACGGGACGCCUGAGAGGGUGAGAGCCCCGUACGGUCGGGUGCCCGAGCCUGUGUGAAGCUCCUUCGACGAGUCGAGUAGUUUGGGAAUGCUGCUCAAAAUGGGAGGUAAAUUUCUUCUAAAGCUAAAUACCGGCCAGAGACCGAUAGCGCACAAGUAGAGUGAUCGAAAGAUGAAAAGCACUUUGAAAAGAGGGUUAAACAGUACGUGAAAUUGUUGAAAGGGAAGCGUUUGCGACCAGACUUUUCCCCGGCGGAUCAUCCGGCGUUCUCGCCGGUGCACUCCGCCGGGCGUGAGGCCAGCAUCGGCUCCAGCGGGGGGACAAAGGCUCCGGGAAUGUGGCUCGCCCCGGCGAGUGUUAUAGACCGUUGCGCAAUACCCCCGCGGGGACCGAGGUACGCGCUCCGCAAGGAUGCUGGCGUAAUGGUCGUCAACGACCCGUCUUGAAACACGGACCAAGGAGUCGAACAUUUGUGCAAGUGUUUGGGUGUCAAACCCUUACGCGUAAUGAAAGUGAACGGAGGUGAGAGCCCUCGGGCGCAUCAUCGACCGAUCCUGAUGUUCUCGGAUGGAUUUGAGUAAGAGCAUAGCUGUUCGGACCCGAAAGAUGGUGAACUAUGCGUGGAUAGGGUGAAGCCAGAGGAAACUCUGGUGGAGGCUCGCAGCGGUUCUGACGUGCAAAUCGAUCGUCAAAUCUGCGCAUGGGGGCGAAAGACUAAUCGAACCAUCUAGUAGCUGGUACCGCGAGAUUU